RNAcentral lists this long non-coding RNA (3146 nucleotides) under Sorghum bicolor (sorghum). Its description in RNAcentral is "long non-coding RNA (SBIC_LNC011292)". Lineage: Eukaryota; Viridiplantae; Streptophyta; Magnoliopsida; Poales; Poaceae. The record is from RNAcentral.
GCAGGAUAUGAAGACACGGCCCGCACACCCACACCCCGCCCCGUGCCCACACCUCUCUCUCUCUCUCUCCACUGACGGCAACUCUGGCAUCCACCCCGCGCCUGCGCUCGCACCCCCAUCGCCUCCCCCACACUCAGACAUGGCGGCGGCAGCAGAUCGCUUUGGCGGCGGCAGAUCCGUUGGAUCCAACGGUGAUGAGGCCAGGUAGGCCUCCUCCUCUCUCUCCUCCUAGAUCAGGCUAGGGUUCCGACGAGCCCUUCUAUUUCUUCUCCAAUCCUGGUGGGGUGUAGAAUGACUAGCCUAAGGGAGGCAGGUAGGCCGAGCAAUGAGGAUACGCUUGAUCGACGACUUAGGGGAGUUAACGACAGCAGAGGCAAUCAACUCUCUCUUGGCAACUCCGGUGUCCACCUCGCGCCUGCGCCCGCACCCCCAUCGCCUCCCUCACACUAAGACAUGGCGGCAGCGACAGAUCUGUCGGCUUCGGCGGUGGCAGAUCCACUGGAUCUAACGGUGACGAGGCCAGGUAGGCCUCCUCUUCUCUCCUCCUAGAUUAUGCUAGGGUUCGGACGAGCUCUUCCCUUUCUUCUCCAACCUCGGUGGGGUGUAGAAUGACUAGCCUAAGGGAGGAAGGUAGCCGAGCAAUGGGGAUGCUUGAACGGCGGCUUAAGGGAGUUAACGACUGCAAAGGCAAUCAAAUCAGGACGAAGAAGGCUCACCAAGGCUAGAGAAGAUGACAACAGACAAGCUUGCUCAAGCUGAAGAAGAUGGUGGCAGUGGGGAAGAGGGGAAGGGAAAAGGGCAGCCGCCAUGGGUAGAGGGGUGGCCGGCGAACCCUAGAUCUGGUCAGUUUUUUUUUCUUUUUUGGCAACCAAAACAAUUCUUUUCCCAAAUUAGUUUGCAGCCGAAAAUUGCGUUUCCUGCACGCGCACGCCCAUGUAAAGUCCAUACUCUUGAUAUAUAGCCGCUCAAAAAAAUCUUUACAAACCAACCUCAGUUUUACAUGUUGAGAAAUGAGAAUGAGAACCAUGUUCGAUACGCGCGCGGCAGUAACUAGUCAUACAAAAAGUCAGCGAACUUUCCUAUGCACCAGACGAGUUCAACUUUAGCAUGCGAACCUCCCAUGCAUCUAUGCUAUGUAACUCAUCUAAUAACCAAAAUAAACAAACCUACAACAUUCUCUAUCUACCUUCUACUCUCUUACCCUUUUAGCAGUUCAGCCUCUCGUCUUUCAAAAAGUAUUUCAGUUUCUUUGGCAGUGGCGAGUGGCAAUCAGUGCCUUCCAUGUGCCGUUUUGCAGGGUUGCUGCGGCUGUGAUUCAUCAAAUCAUCCUUGGGUGGAGCCAACUUUUCAGCUUCAAUGUCAUACCUGACGACGUUUGUUACAAUUCCAUGAAUAGAUGUCUCAGCUCUUGGCAGGAUCUCUCUUUCCAGAACUUCUUGUUGCCCACCGCAAGUCUCAUGCUCGGCAGCAGACUGCAACUCCUUUAGGACUAGAGCUCUAUCUCUGACGAAACUGUCUUUUUGCUUCUGCAUUGAUAAGAUUUCUCAUUAAAUAUAUGUGAUGUAAAACAACAGAUCGACAUGGUGAUAAUCAACACCUUCAAAAGAGUCACAAAGAACGAAUCUAGAAGGUAAACCGAAGAAGGUACCAUACUAUCAAGGAUGGAAGGAAUAACAGAAUUGCUACCCACAUAAGUUGCCAUUCAUAUAUGACAAAUGCAUGGCACACUACAAGUCCACCAUAGUUUGCACAUGUGCCAGAAUAACUAAGAUAUGUAAUCCACAUGAAAGCGCCCAGUCUAUUUUACUUCGUCUAUUCUUAUGCAAUGCAAGUUGGGUCAUUAAAUUUGCACUACAAUACAGUUAUUUGUUUUGCUGUGUAGUCUACAUACUGGUCCUUCCAAUCCGGACAGGGGUUUCACUAGCCGCACAGGAACUUAGGCACUUUAGGUUUAUCAAAUGAAAUAAUGGUGCCAGCACAUAUAUAAGAUGUCAAAGCGCGCACACAUCGUCAACGGCAAGCACUUGGGGUACCUAGAUUUCCAGUUAAUGCUAGUAAGCAGAAACCUUGGGUACCUAGGUUGUCCACUGAAAGUCAGCUUCUAUGAGCUAUACAAACUCUGCACCAAUCCUGAAAUCUCCAUUGAGGAUGCCUUAGAGGGUGGUAGGGUUCACUUGCAGAAUACUGGAAGAACUGAUUGAGAGGUCAUGUACGGUUCAGCUUGCAGAUGGGCAAGAUAAAGUAGUAUGGGCCUUAGAAAGAUAAGGCAAUUUCUCAAUGAGAUCUUUGUACAGGGCUUUAAAGUUUGGAGGAGCUAUUGAUCAGCAGAUGGUAGAAAUAUGGAAAAGUAAAGUGCCUAAAAAAAUCUUUGAAUGGCUGCCCACAAUAGAUUUCAAUCAGCACAACAACUUAAGAAGUGGAAAGGGGAAAUACUGUGCAAACUGUGUGGCAAGGAGGGAACCAACAGAUCAUAUCCUUUUUCCUUGUCCAAUAGCUAUAUUUGUUUGGUCCUUUUUAGCAGCUUCCUUUUAGUUUGAACCGUGUUCCUGUUAGUUAGUCUACUUUCUGGCAUCUCCGCAUCUGUUCAUAAUUAAUAGAAAUGCUUCUAGGCAUAUGAAUAUAUGAUCAAUCUUUUCUAUGGCAGCGACCUGAAUACAAGUUCCUGGAGUUUGGAGGCCCCUGCCGAGAACCAGAGCCCUCCCUCCGAGCUAAUACCCUAAGGACCUCCUGAACGUUUGGCCUCUUAUUAUAAAAAAGACACAGUGUUGGAUGCUUCCAAAUGUCCCAUGCCACCAAAAUUAUCAAGGAGUUGAGGCCUUUACGCGCUUCUUUGGGGAUAGCUGCAGUUGACCUCUUCCACCAAAGUUCAAGUGUUUAGCUAUGCUGGAGUUAGCUUUUGAGUUUCGUUGAUCCUCUUUUGUCUUUUCUAGCCUUUUUUGGUUGGCUGUCAGACUUCAGUCGAGGACUCACGGUGGAGGCUGAGUUGCUCAGCAAGCUUGCUGCAGCAGAGUGCUUGAACUGUAAACUGGUCUCCCCAGUCAUAAGACUAAGUUAAGCUUUCAAUAAAAGCUGGACCAUAAUGGCCUUGAGUCUUAAUAUACAUCAGAGGGCCACACAGCAACAACUGAACAGAAAGGAACUUCAGG